Molecule: non-coding RNA, 1466 nt
Organism: Cicer arietinum (chickpea)
Lineage: Eukaryota; Viridiplantae; Streptophyta; Magnoliopsida; Fabales; Fabaceae
Source: RefSeq, a predicted model, not a curated record
AGAGAUGUUUGCAAGAAAGAGAUGAAUAAUAUGUGGCAACAUGCAGCAUUUAUAAAUUGUAAUUACUCACUCUCUCAUACAUGAUCAUCUAAUUGUUAAUUGAUCAAAACGCGUACAAUAGUUGGUCUCGAGGAUAGAGAAACUGAUCUCAAGAGAAGAGAAAGAAUAAUUAAAAAAGGUACGUACGAAAAUAUGUUGUCAAUAUAAAAAAUUGUGUUUAAAUAUCAUUUAUGUUUUUGAAUAGGUGUAGAACAUGGGGAAAAGAGUUCAUAUUAGUUCACUUUAGGAGCCUUUCAAGACAAUCAAAGACUAUCAUGUGACGUAUCAUCAAAAGCUUGCAAGUCUUUCAUAUUAAAGUUGUCACUCAUCAUCAAGUUUUGCUUCAUUGAAAAAGUUAGUGCAUUGCUAGCAAGAAGAUUAUUAUCAACAUAUAACACAAGUAUUAUAAAAUUGAUCCUCACUAAUUUUUAAGUAAAUGGACAUAUACGAGGUAUUUUUCUGCAAAUCAAGUACCCUUUGACCAUUUCAACAAGUCUUCAAGUUGAACUAUGUAAAUAUCUUCAACAACAUUAUUGGAAUCAAUUAUGUCUUUGGAUUCUUGUUCAUUCAUCGAUGGUGCCUCUAUAUCAUAUUUUGUCAUUCGAACAGUCUAGUCAUAGUUUUGGAAGUGAAAUUUCAUAAAAGGAAUAAUCACCCACCUCGUGGUUAUACCGCUUUCAAUACUUGCAAGUCUAUUUGAUGAAAUUUCCCUUAAACAUCCUUUUAGGCUCUAGCGAUUAUAUCGUCUUUCCUGCUUUCCUAUUAUUAGAUUGAUAUUUUCUUUCGUCGAAGUUUCUUUUAACAUAUUGUGUCAGAAGUAGAAGCAACAAACCAUACACAAUAAUAUUUACCCUUUGUUAUAAAAUUCUCCUUUUGAGUUACUAUAGCAAUCAUCUCAUCUACAUCCCGCUCAACUUUUUAAGUAUUGUAAAAGAUCCUCAUAACAUCGAAUUGAGGAGAUAAAGACUAAAGAAUCCUUCAAAUCAAAGUUCUAUCAUCAAUCUCAAUUUUAAAAGACUUCAACUUAUAACAAAAGUGCAACAUUUUCAUGAUGUGUUGUGCACCCCAACAUCGUCAUAUUAGGUCUUGUCCAAUAAGGAGAGACAUUGACAUUUUUUGGUUUUCUAAAACAUCGUGCAUUUUUCUCCAACCGACUCGAAAUAAUCUUUAGCACAAUCAUUUUGGGAAUACUCUGUUUGAUGAAUUUCUCCAUAGUAAAAGGUAUAAAUUUUAGGAACGUUCUAUUAUAAUGUUUUUAUUUUUCAUGAGAAGUCAUUUGAGACUCAGUGCACACAUUUGUGAGAGCAUCUAACUUUUCAAUUCUUAAAGUCAGAUAAAGAUUGACAAUAGUCAAUUAGAGACCCAUAUGUUCUUUUUAAUCCUUGAAAGUUGGUCUCUAUAAAAUUUGUGUAUCAUAUUUAUCUCUA